This 481-nucleotide ribosomal RNA is filed under the name uncultured bacterium. Its description in RNAcentral is "partial 16S ribosomal RNA". It matches the Rfam family "Bacterial small subunit ribosomal RNA", at positions 30 to 507 of the family's 1533-position model. The record is from RNAcentral.
AUUGAACGCUGGCGGCAUGCCUUACACAUGCAAAUCGAACGGUAACGGGCCUUCGGGUGCCGACGAGUGGCGAACGGGUGAGUAAUACAUCGGAACGUGCCCGAUCGUGGGGGAUAACGAGGCGAAAGCUUUGCUAUACCGCAUACGAUCUACGGAUGAAAGCAGGGGACCGCAAGGCCUUGCGCGGACGGGGCGGCCGAUGGCAGAUUAGGUAGUUGGUGGGAUAAAAGCUUACCAAGCCGACGAUCUGUAGCUGGUCUGAGAGGAUGAUCAGCCACACUGGGACUGAGACACGGCCCAGACUCCUACGGGAGGCAGCAGUGGGGAAUUUUGGACAAUGGGCGCAAGCCUGAUCCAGCCAUGCCGCGUGCAGGAUGAAGGCCUUCGGGUUGUAAACUGAUUUUGUACGGAACGAAAAGCCUUCUUUUAAUACAGGAGGGUCAUGACGGUACCGGAAGAAUAAGCACCGGCUAACUACGUG